This 252-nucleotide ribosomal RNA is filed under the name Triticum aestivum (bread wheat). RNAcentral's name for it is "partial small subunit ribosomal RNA". The record is from RNAcentral. Lineage: Eukaryota; Viridiplantae; Streptophyta; Magnoliopsida; Poales; Poaceae.
AUGAGUCUACUCAUGUGGAACUGUCGCGGGGUUGGCGAUCCGAUGACAGUUCGAGAGCUUCGUGACCUCACGAAGCAAUUUGCCCCCUCUAUUAUAUGCAUUCUUGAAGCUCAGUUAGAGGGAAGUAGAGUUGAAAGUUUAGCCGGUACUUUAGGAUACAAUAAGAGUUUUGCUAUUAGUAGCUCCGGUAUGAGUGGAGGCCUUGGAAUAUUCUGAAAUGAUGAAAUAAAGAUUGAAGUUGUGGGUUAUUAG